GCGCCCGUAGCUCAGCUGGAUAGAGCGCUGCCCUCCGAAGGCAGAGGUCACAAGUUCGAAUCUUGUCGGGCGCG
This 74-nucleotide transfer RNA is filed under the name soil metagenome. It matches the Rfam family "tRNA". From Rfam's summary of the family: Transfer RNA (tRNA) molecules are approximately 80 nucleotides in length. Their secondary structure includes four short double-helical elements and three loops (D, anti-codon, and T loops). Further hydrogen bonds mediate the characteristic L-shaped molecular structure. tRNAs have two regions of fundamental functional importance: the anti-codon, which is responsible for specific mRNA codon recognition, and the 3' end, to which the tRNAs corresponding amino acid is attached (by aminoacyl-tRNA synthetases). tRNAs cope with the degeneracy of the genetic code in two manners: having more than one tRNA (with a specific anti-codon) for a particular amino acid; and 'wobble' base-pairing, i.e. permitting non-standard base-pairing at the 3rd anti-codon position. The record is from RNAcentral.